UACAGAGGUCUCAAGCGUUGUUCGGAUUCAUUGGGCGUAAAGGGUGCGCAGGCGGCGAGGCAAGUCGGACGUGAAAUCCCGGGGCUUAACCCCGGAACUGCGUUCGAUACUGCCUUGCUCGAGGACUGGAGAGGAGACUGGAAUUCCUGGUGUAGCAGUGAAAUGCGUAGAUAUCAGGAGGAACGCCAAUGGCGAAGGCAAGUCUCUGGACAGUUCCUGACGCUCAUGCACGAAGGCCAGGGGAGCAAACGGG
RNAcentral lists this ribosomal RNA (253 nucleotides) under uncultured bacterium. RNAcentral describes it as "partial 16S ribosomal RNA". It matches the Rfam family "Bacterial small subunit ribosomal RNA", at positions 524 to 776 of the family's 1533-position model. The record is from RNAcentral.